GAAACGACUGCUAAUACCGCAUGACGCAUAGAGGUCGCAUGAUCUUUAUGCCAAAGAUUUAUCGCUUCAAGAUGGCCUCGCGUCUGAUUAGCUGGUUGGCGGGGUAACGGCCCACCAAGGCGACGAUCAGUAGCCGGACUGAGAGGUUGAACGGCCACAUUGGGACUGAGAUACGGCCCAGACUCCUACGGGAGGCAGCAGUGGGGAAUAUUGGGCAAUGGGCGCAAGCCUGACCCAGCAACGCCGCGUGAAGGAAGAAGGCUUUCGGGUUGUAAACUUCUUUUAAGAGGGAAGAGCAGAAGACGGUACCUCUAGAAUAAGCCACGGCUAACUACGUGCCAGCAGCCGCGGUAAUACGUAGGUGGCAAGCGUUGUCCGGAUUUACUGGGUGUAAAGGGCGUGCAGCCGGGUCUGCAAGUCAGAUGUGAAAUCCAUGGGCUCAACCCAUGAACUGCAUUUGAAACUGUAGAUCUUGAGUGUCGGAGGGGCAAUCGGAAUUCCUAGUGUAGCGGUGAAAUGCGUAGAUAUUAGGAGGAACACCAGUGGCGAAGGCGGAUUGCUGGACGAUAACUGACGGUGAGGCGCGAAAGUGUGGGGAGCAAACAGGAUUAGAUACCCUGGUAGUCCACACUGUAAACGAUGAAUGCUAGGUGUGCGGGGACUGACCCCCUGCGUGCC
This 678-nucleotide ribosomal RNA is filed under the name uncultured bacterium. Its description in RNAcentral is "bacterial SSU rRNA". It matches the Rfam family "Bacterial small subunit ribosomal RNA", at positions 153 to 847 of the family's 1533-position model. The record is from RNAcentral.